RNAcentral lists this ribosomal RNA (1451 nucleotides) under uncultured organism. Its description in RNAcentral is "SSU rRNA". It matches the Rfam family "Bacterial small subunit ribosomal RNA". The record is from RNAcentral.
GAACGCUAGCUACAGGCUUAACACAUGCAAGUCGAGGGGCAGCAUGGUCUUAGCUUGCUAAGGCCGAUGGCGACCGGCGCACGGGUGAGUAACACGUAUCCAACCUGCCGUCUACUCUUGGACAGCCUUCUGAAAGGAAGAUUAAUACAAGAUGGCAUCAUGAGUCCGCAUGUUCACAUGAUUAAAGGUAUUCCGGUAGACGAUGGGGAUGCGUUCCAUUAGAUAGUAGGCGGGGUAACGGCCCACCUAGUCUUCGAUGGAUAGGGGUUCUGAGAGGAAGGUCCCCCACAUUGGAACUGAGACACGGUCCAAACUCCUACGGGAGGCAGCAGUGAGGAAUAUUGGUCAGUGGGCGAGAGCCUGAACCAGCCAAGUAGCGUGAAGGAUGACUGCCCUAUGGGUUGUAAACUUCUUUUAUAAAGGAAUAAAGUCGGGUAUGGAUGCCCGUUUGCAUGUACUUUAUGAAUAAGGAUCGGCUAACUCCGUGCCAGCAGCCGCGGUAAUACGGAGGAUCCGAGCGUUAUCCGGAUUUAUUGGGUUUAAAGGGAGCGUAGAUGGAUGUUUAAGUCAGUUGUGAAAGUUUGCGGCUCAACCGUAAAAUUGCAGUUGAUACUGGAUAUCUUGAGUGCAGUUGAGGCAGGCGGAAUUCGCGGUGUAGCGGUGAAAUGCUUAGAUAUCACGAAGAACUCCGAUUGCGAAGGCAGCCUGCUAAGCUGCAACUGACAUUGAGGCUCGAAAGUGUGGGUAUCAAACAGGAUUAGAUACCCUGGUAGUCCACACGGUAAACGAUGAAUACUCGCUGUUUGCGAUAUACAGCAAGCGGCCAAGCGAAAGCGUUAAGUAUUCCACCUGGGGAGUACGCCGGCAACGGUGAAACUCAAAGGAAUUGACGGGGGCCCGCACAAGCGGAGGAACAUGUGGUUUAAUUCGAUGAUACGCGAGGAACCUUACCCGGGCUUAAAUUGCAGAUGAAUUACGGUGAAAGCCGUAAGCCGCAAGGCAUCUGUGAAGGUGCUGCAUGGUUGUCGUCAGCUCGUGCCGUGAGGUGUCGGCUUAAGUGCCAUAACGAGCGCAACCCUUGUUGUCAGUUACUAACAGGUUCCGCUGAGGACUCUGACAAGACUGCCAUCGUAAGAUGUGAGGAAGGUGGGGAUGACGUCAAAUCAGCACGGCCCUUACGUCCGGGGCUACACACGUGUUACAAUGGGGGGUACAGAGGGCCGCUACCACGCGAGUGGAUGCCAAUCCCAAAAACCUCUCUCAGUUCGGACUGGAGUCUGCAACCCGACUCCACGAAGCUGGAUUCGCUAGUAAUCGCGCAUCAGCCACGGCGCGGUGAAUACGUUCCCGGGCCUUGUACACACCGCCCGUCAAGCCAUGGGAGCCGGGGGUACCUGAAGUGCGUAACCGCGAGGAGCGCCCUAGGGUAAAACUGGUGACUGGGGCUAAGU